GGAAGGAUCAUUAUUGAAUAAACUUGAACAGGCUGCUGCUGGCCCCCUUGGGGUGCAUGUGCACGCUUGUCAUCUUUAUCUCUCCUGCUGUGCACAUAUUGUAGACCUGGAGUCUGAUUAUUUGAGUAUAGAAUGAGAAUUGCUGUGCUUUCUAGUCAGCUUUGUCUUGCAUCUCCCAGGUCUAUGUUUGUUUUCACAAUCUCUGAAUGAUGUUGGAAUGUACCUAUAAAAGUUAUAUAUAUACAACUUUCAGCAACGGAUCUCUUGGCUCUCGCAUCGAUGAAGAACGCAGCGAAAUGCGAUAAGUAAUGUGAAUUGCAGAAUUCAGUGAAUCAUCGAAUCUUUGAACGCAUCUUGCGCUCCUUGGUAUUCCGAGGAGCAUGCCUGUUUGAGUGUCAUUAAGUUCUCAACCACACCAAUAUUUUGAUGUGGCCUUGGAUAUGGGGGUUUUUGCAGGCUUCUGAAAAUGAAGCCGGCUCCUCUGAAAUGCAUUAGUGGUAUCUGAGCAGAAACUACUACAGGUGUGAUAAUUAUCUAUGCCUUCAAGUAUACUGCAUGCACUGCUUCUAACAUGUUUGACAAAUUUGACCUCAAAUCAGGUAGGACUACCCGCUGAACUUAAGCAUAUCAAUAAGCGGAGGAAAAGAAACUAACAAGGAUUCCCCUAGUAACUGCGAGUGAAGCGGGAAGAGCUCAAAUUUAAAAUCUGGCGGUUUUUUAACUGUCCGAGUUGUAAUCUAGAGAAGUGCUACCUGUGCUGGACCAUGUACAAGUCUUCUGGAAUGGAGCAUCAUAGAGGGUGAGAAUCCCGUCUUUGACAUGGACUACCUGUACAUUAUGGUGCGCUCUCAAAGAGUCGAGUUGUUUGGGAAUGCAGCUCAAAAUGGGUGGUAAAUGCCAUCUAAAGCUAAAUAUUGGCGAGAGACCGAU
This 930-nucleotide ribosomal RNA is filed under the name uncultured fungus. Its description in RNAcentral is "eukaryotic LSU rRNA". The stretch from base 586 to 930 matches the Rfam family "Eukaryotic large subunit ribosomal RNA", at positions 1 to 338 of the family's 3401-position model. Lineage: Eukaryota; Fungi. The record is from RNAcentral.